Molecule: long non-coding RNA, 846 nt
Filed under: Ananas comosus (pineapple)
Lineage: Eukaryota; Viridiplantae; Streptophyta; Magnoliopsida; Poales; Bromeliaceae
Description: long non-coding RNA (ACOM_LNC044653)
Source: RNAcentral
UUCAUGUAUGCUUUCUGUUCCAGUUACAGUAGCGGUAGCCGUUUAUUCAGUAUAGUUCUUACUUCCUUUCAGUUUAUCGCUAUUGUAUAUCUGCUCAUUACCUUGUUUAUUUCCACUGACCCGUGUUGUUGUAUAGUUCUUCCUGAUCCGGUGAGUACUCCUCGUCUUCUUCGGCUUGCUGUACCCACUGGGAGGGGAGACAUGUUUGCAUGUUCUCACCUCCCCCACUAUUUUUCAGGUAUCGCGGGCGUUGAGUAGUGGGACGAGACGUGAGGUACGUGUGUAGCCGUCGAUAAAGCUUCGACCCAGGUUAUUUCGAUUUAGCUAUUACCCUUUUUAUUUCUGUGGAUAUAUAUAGCUUAGUCGGUUUACAUGGUUCAGUUUUGUUUUAUUAUUUGAAUAUCUGAGUUUUUAGUUGGUUUUGGAAUGUAAUAAAGGAAUUAUGUUUUCUUGAAAUAAAAGGUUUUCUACCCCUCGUGGUAGCGUUUCUUUAAGGAACAAAGGUUUCCGUGUAGGAAACAGUUUUCAAAAGGUUUUCUGUGGAUAUUUCAUAUUAGUAUUUCAAAACCUGUUUCUGUGGUUGGAAACAUUUUAACUGAUAGAUGUGAAUUUAUGUUUAAAUAUUGAAUGUAUAAAUGUGAACCUGUGAUGUGAAUGGUGCAUGAAUAUAUAAUCGUUGGUUAUUUGUAUGUUCAUUUGGUUGUGGUUGUACCUGGGUUACUUCUUGUACUUGUGUGACGCUGUGCAAAUACAGGAGAGACUCUGUCCGUGUGAACAGUGGAUUCCCUGUGUUUGUGGCGGAUUUGGCAUACUCUAGGGUCAGGCUUUUAAAAAAUAAUAAUAAUA